AUAAGGUGUUUAGCACAUUAGAUUUUCAUUUUAAAGGGGUAUUUUACUAUA
RNAcentral lists this transfer RNA (51 nucleotides) under Whitmania acranulata. Its description in RNAcentral is "tRNA-Glu". Lineage: Eukaryota; Metazoa; Annelida; Clitellata; Hirudinida; Haemopidae. The record is from RNAcentral.